This is a transfer RNA of 73 nucleotides. It matches the Rfam family "tRNA". Rfam says of the family: Transfer RNA (tRNA) molecules are approximately 80 nucleotides in length. Their secondary structure includes four short double-helical elements and three loops (D, anti-codon, and T loops). Further hydrogen bonds mediate the characteristic L-shaped molecular structure. tRNAs have two regions of fundamental functional importance: the anti-codon, which is responsible for specific mRNA codon recognition, and the 3' end, to which the tRNAs corresponding amino acid is attached (by aminoacyl-tRNA synthetases). tRNAs cope with the degeneracy of the genetic code in two manners: having more than one tRNA (with a specific anti-codon) for a particular amino acid; and 'wobble' base-pairing, i.e. permitting non-standard base-pairing at the 3rd anti-codon position. The record is from Rfam.
AUCCCUUUAGCCAAGCGGUUAAGGCAGUAGGAUUAUGUCCUACGUAUCGGGAGUUCGAACCUCCCAAGGGGCG